RNAcentral lists this ribosomal RNA (328 nucleotides) under uncultured soil bacterium. RNAcentral's name for it is "bacterial SSU rRNA". It matches the Rfam family "Bacterial small subunit ribosomal RNA", at positions 26 to 352 of the family's 1533-position model. The record is from RNAcentral.
AGAUUGAACGCUGGCGGCAUGCCUUACACAUGCAAGUCGAACGGCAGCGCGGGGCAACCUGGCGGCGAGUGGCGAACGGGUGAGUAAUAUAUCGGAACGUACCCUGGAGUGGGGGAUAACGUAGCGAAAGUUACGCUAAUACCGCAUACGAUCUAAGGAUGAAAGUGGGGGAUUCGCAAGAACCUCAUGCUCCUGGAGCGGCCGAUAUCUGAUUAGCUAGUUGGUAGGGGUAAAGCCUACCAAGGCAUCGAUCAGUAGCUGGUCUGGAGAGGACGACCACGACCACACGUGAACUGAAGCAACGGUCCAGACUCCGUACGGGAGCAGC